This 274-nucleotide ribosomal RNA is filed under the name uncultured bacterium. Its description in RNAcentral is "partial 16S ribosomal RNA". It matches the Rfam family "Bacterial small subunit ribosomal RNA", at positions 523 to 796 of the family's 1533-position model. The record is from RNAcentral.
AUACAGAGGGUGCGAGCGUUAAUCGGAAUUACUGGGCGUAAAGCGCGCGUAGGCGGCUUGGUCAGUCGGAUGUGAAAGCCCCGGGCUCAACCUGGGAACUGCAUUCGAUACUGCAUGACUUGAGUCUGGUAGAGGGAAGUGGAAUUCCGCAUGUAGCGGUGAAAUGCGUAGAUAUGCGGAGGAACAUCAGUGGCGAAGGCGACUUCCUGGACCAAGACUGACACUGAGGUGCGAAAGCGUGGGGAGCAAACAGGAUUAGAAACCCGAGUAGUCC